ACAAGCAGCGGAGCGUGUGGUUUAAUUCGAUGUUACAUGAAGAGCCUUACCAGGGUUUGACAUGCAAGUGGUAGGAAACCGAAAGGUGACCGACCCUUCGGGGAGCUUGCACAGGUGCUGCAUGGCUGUCGUCAGCUCGUGUCGUGAGAUGUUCGGUUAAGUCCGCUAACGAGCGCAACCCUCGCUGUGUGUUAUAUGUGUCACACGGGACUGCCGGUCUUAAGCCGGAGGAAGGUGGGGAUGAUGUCAAGUCAGCAUGGCCUUUAUAUCCUGGGCUACACACACGCUACAAUGGCCAACACAAUAGGUUGCUAAGCCGCGAGGUGGCGCCAAUCCAUAAAGUUGGUCUCAGUUCAGAUUGUAGGCUGCAACCCGCCUGCAUGAAGAUGGAGUUGCUAGUAACCGCAGGUCAGCUAUACUGCGGUGAAUACGUUCCCGGGGCUU
This 444-nucleotide ribosomal RNA is filed under the name uncultured Leptolinea sp. Its description in RNAcentral is "bacterial SSU rRNA". It matches the Rfam family "Bacterial small subunit ribosomal RNA", at positions 925 to 1382 of the family's 1533-position model. Lineage: Bacteria; Bacillati; Chloroflexota; Anaerolineae; Anaerolineales; Anaerolineaceae. The record is from RNAcentral.